AAGGUAAGACGUUCUAUCGCGCCGCGAAAGCGGUGAGGAAAGUCCGGACAGCUCAGAGCACCUCCCUGUGGAAAGCACAGAAGGGCGUAAGUUUUUGGAACGAGCGUAACAGAAAAUAACCGCCGGUAUUCCGGUAAGGGUGAAAAUGCGAGGCAAGAGCUCACAACGUAAGGCGGUGACGCCGGACGGGUACGCGCCGGAGGGCUGCAAGGCCAAAUAUAUCGGUUUUAAGGGUUGCUCGCCCGAUGCCGAGGGGUAGGCUGCAACAGAUAAAUGAUAGAAGCCCGAAAGGGUACAGAAUUCGGCUUACAGGCUCACCUUAUUU
Molecule: RNase P RNA, 325 nt
Filed under: Bacteroidales bacterium
Lineage: Bacteria; Pseudomonadati; Bacteroidota; Bacteroidia; Bacteroidales
Also listed under: 1 other name
Description: RNase P RNA component class A
Rfam family: Bacterial RNase P class A
About the family: Ribonuclease P (RNase P) is a ubiquitous endoribonuclease, found in archaea, bacteria and eukarya as well as chloroplasts and mitochondria. Its best characterised activity is the generation of mature 5'-ends of tRNAs by cleaving the 5'-leader elements of precursor-tRNAs.
Source: RNAcentral